UUCAUGUAUAAAGAAAAGCCUUUUAUUAGAA
Molecule: transfer RNA, 31 nt
Filed under: Grylloblatta sp. SDS14_476A
Lineage: Eukaryota; Metazoa; Arthropoda; Insecta; Grylloblattodea; Grylloblattidae
Description: partial tRNA-Leu
Source: RNAcentral